RNAcentral lists this ribosomal RNA (554 nucleotides) under Mastotermes darwiniensis (giant northern termite). RNAcentral's name for it is "partial 16S ribosomal RNA". It matches the Rfam family "Bacterial large subunit ribosomal RNA", at positions 1796 to 2622 of the family's 2925-position model. Lineage: Eukaryota; Metazoa; Arthropoda; Insecta; Blattodea; Mastotermitidae. The record is from RNAcentral.
UCGCCUGUUUAUCAAAAACAUCUCUUCUUGGAAUUAAUUUGAAGUAUUACCUGCCCGCUGGAGUUUUUGAAGGGCCGCGGUAUAUUGACCGUGCAAAGGUAGCAUAAUCAUUAGUCUUUUAAUUGAGGGCUGGAAUGAAUGGUUUGACGAGGCACAUACUGUCCCUUUGAAAUGUUAUUGAAUUUGGUUUUUAAGUUAAAACACUUAAAUGUUUGUAUGGGACGAGAAGACCCUAUAGAGUUUUACCGGUAUAUAAUUGUUUAUGUUUGUUGAUUUUGAAGAUGAAUUAUUUUCUGGUUUGGUUGGGGUGAUUAGAGGAUAUAGUAAACUCCUCUUUAUUGGUGAUAUAUUUAUUUAUAUUUAAAUGAUCCAUUUAUUUUGAUUAUAAGAUUAAAUUACCUUAGGGAUAACAGCGUAAUUUCCUUUGAGAGUUCUUAUCGACAAGGGAGUUUGCGACCUCGAUGUUGGAUUAAGAUAAAUUUUUGGUGUAGGUGCUAAAAAGGUAGGUCUGUUCGACCUUUAAAAUCUUACAUGAUCUGAGUUCAAACCGGAGA